This 559-nucleotide long non-coding RNA is filed under the name Setaria viridis. RNAcentral's name for it is "long non-coding RNA (SVIR_LNC009053)". Lineage: Eukaryota; Viridiplantae; Streptophyta; Magnoliopsida; Poales; Poaceae. The record is from RNAcentral.
GAAGGAUGGUUUUGAAGAGUUGUGUGGGGGUUGUUCUCCCUAUAUAAACCUAUCGGUCAAUUCGCUGAUUCGUGACAACUAGAAAAUAUUAUGGACCGUAUAUUGUAAGUGGGGUGUUAUUCUCAAAAAGCAAUACCGACUGCAUAAUUGCAAAAUUUAUCCCAGCCAUACAGGCUUUCGGUGUUAAACUGAAAGCAGUUUUUUUUUUCAUGCCUAAUGGAAAGAAAUAGCAAUAUUAAUUCCCUCAUUUGAGAUUUGGUGCCUAAAUUAAAACUGAUCGACCUCUAGUUAUGAACUUUUAGUAAAAUUACUUGUUAUACAAUUUGAAGACCUGCCUCGGUGAUCAUCCUUUUCACAAUCUUCCACGUGUAUUAUUCACAACUGGUAUAUAUACCAUCCAAGCACCACCUUACAUGUGGGAAUGGGACAACAAGGCUGCUGUCAAUCGGCAAGUAGCGGACAACAGCGUAACGGCUUGAUUGUGAUAGUGCGUGUCUCCCUUAAAAAAACGAACAUUUCUGUCAAAGCGAUUGAUUCGAUCGAUAAUUCUACAUUAAUU